GCCAUUGGUUCUUGAAAAAUAUAACUUAUAAAUGCCUCAUACAAUUUAUACAUGUUUCAUGAGCUGUCGUACCCCAGGUGUCAAUAUUUCCCUUGUCAAUAUUGGCACCCCAUUUGGAAUUCCCUCCUUUGUAGGCGUAUUGUCUUCUUAAAUGAUUCAGAGAUUAGAUUAGCGCAUAGAUGAACGGUCUGUAGUAAACUAAUGUUGUGUUUCAUACCACGACAUAUACGACAUUGUAAUUACAGGGUAGCACAACUCCCGGGUGCGCUACACUCUAUGAGCUCUGGCCAUCACGGAUUUGUUUGGGAGCCAAAUAAGAACCCGGGCUGUGACAAACAAUGGUAGCGAUGAAAGGCGAGGGGAGGGUUGGCUAAAUGCAAAUAUCCACUUUGUGCUGUUGAGAGAACCUCCUCCAACACUGACAACUGGCAAUUUCCAUCCCAAGAAUCCUACACUGUAGGCUGAGAAUAAAUGCAUCUACAAUUCUGCCACGUCCCUUCUUUACAGCGAAGUUACAACUUCUUGUAACUACGAUUUAAUUCACAACUUUGAAACGUGUUCGGUUCAUUCCAUCGAGCAAGAGUUGGACAACGGUCAGUGAAGAUGGACAUUUGAUGACCUCGGGUGUGUCGCGGGAGGGACAGGAAGCGUCUGUGCACCUGUGAGAACUAAACCAAAAAGGACAAUGACCCAAAACAUAGCUCCAGGCUGUGUAAGGGCUAUUUGACCAAGAAGGAGAGUGAUGGUGCUGCAUCAGAUGACCUGGCCUCUACAAUCACCCAACCUCAUCCCUCCUUGAGAUGGUUUGGGAUGAGUUGAGUGAAGUGCAGAGUGAAGGAAAAGCAGCCCACAAGUGCUCAGCAUAUGUGGUAAAUCCUUCAAGACUGUUGGAAAAGCAUUCCUCAUGAAGCUGUUUGAGAGUGUGCAAAGCUGUCAUCAAGGCAAAAGGUGGCUACUUUAAAAUAUUAAAUAUAUUUGGAUUUGUUUAACACUUUUUUGGUGUUACUACAUGAUUCCAUAUGUGUUAUUUCAUAGUUUUGAUGUCUUCACUAUUAUUCUAUAAUGUGGAAAAUAGUAAAAAUAAAGACAAACCCUUGAAUGAGUAGAUAUGUCCAAACUUUUGACUGGUACUGUAUAUAGAGAAAAGGUAUUGCACUAAGUAGGGAAGAGGGUACCAUUUGGGACUCGGGCUAGAACG
Long non-coding RNA from Oncorhynchus tshawytscha (Chinook salmon), 1198 nucleotides. The record is from Ensembl. NCBI's taxonomy places the organism in Eukaryota, Metazoa, Chordata, Actinopteri, Salmoniformes, Salmonidae.